UCAUAGCUCAGUUGGUAGAGCAACUGAUUCGUAACCAGUAGGUCGGCGGUUCAAUUCCGCCU
This 62-nucleotide transfer RNA is filed under the name human gut metagenome. It matches the Rfam family "tRNA", at positions 7 to 64 of the family's 71-position model. From Rfam's summary of the family: Transfer RNA (tRNA) molecules are approximately 80 nucleotides in length. The record is from RNAcentral.